CGCUUCGUAGCUCAGCGGAUAGAGCGCCUUUCGCGUUGAGGCGUGGUAUUUCUGUUGCUGGUUCGACUCCAGCCGAAGCCC
RNAcentral lists this transfer RNA (81 nucleotides) under Paragonimus skrjabini miyazakii. RNAcentral describes it as "Paragonimus miyazakii tRNA-Arg". It matches the Rfam family "tRNA". From Rfam's summary of the family: Transfer RNA (tRNA) molecules are approximately 80 nucleotides in length. Their secondary structure includes four short double-helical elements and three loops (D, anti-codon, and T loops). The record is from RNAcentral. Lineage: Eukaryota; Metazoa; Platyhelminthes; Trematoda; Plagiorchiida; Troglotrematidae.